CACUUUCAGCAGUGGAUGUCUAGGCUCGC
Molecule: ribosomal RNA, 29 nt
Filed under: Pustula tragopogonis
Lineage: Eukaryota; Oomycota; Peronosporomycetes; Albuginales; Albuginaceae
Description: partial 5.8S ribosomal RNA
Source: RNAcentral